UCUCAAAUCACGCAAAAAAUCCAGAUUUUUUCCAAGAGAUUUCUCUACUCUUUUAAGUAGCGGACAUCUUAAAAUAUCCUGGCAGCCUUUGCUCCUUAAAUUAGACAGAAAGCUUUCAUUUUCUCACAAGUACAAAAAGAAAACUUCAAUCAAAUUUAAUUCAUCUACGAGGAAUUAAGCGAACCGGCUGAUGAGACGGGAUCCCAAAGGAAAGUAUCUUAAACACAAGCAGGGGCAGGCAGUGCCACGCUGAUGAAUAGACACAGCGGAGAAAAACCGGAGGAUGUCCUACCGUUGAGCCCAUGGGCGCACCAUAGUUCCCGACUCCUGUAGGACUGUCGAAGGAAUGUUAGGGUGAAAUUUUUCCAUUGACGAAGAAUGGAGGAGAACAAUGGGGCAAUGUCUUUCCCUUAUGGCGUACGAGCAUCGAGGCGUAUUGGAGUUGUGGAAUCUUUCAGUUUUAAUUGAAUUUUAAUUCAACUUAAACAGGAGCGACAACAAGGUGACAAUAUUCUCAAAUUGAUUUCCAACGACAGCAGGGUAGCUCCAAACUUGGCCAUUGUCUCCGGUGCAGAGAUGGGGCUUCAAUUGAAAUUGCUCCGUGAUGUUGUUCCUGGAUUAUGUGGCAGUAAUAUUUUAUGAUUGACUUCAGGAGACGCGACCCGAUUGGAAUGGGUGCGGGUAAUGAACGUAAAAAGGAGACUUUUUUAUAGGAACGGUUGAAAUGAUGUGAACCAGGAGUCUAUCCUUUUAGUUUAACUUCAAACUCGAAAAUUUUGUAAUAAUAACAGAAAACAAUGGGAAAAUUCAUUUCCCACUUCUGGAAGUAGAGCAAAAUGUACUAAGAAAUUUGAGCCGCUAUAGGUAUAUGCUUAGAGGCAGGAUAUUCACAUUUCCAGGAAGAUUUCACCAACUUAUUUUCGAUUUUGUUUUCUUUCGAAGCUAUCAUCCUUGCUGAUCAGCAUUCUCAACCCCAAUCCGCAUGUUCCCUUCCUCUACAAUAUAUCCUUGCCUUCACGCUUAGUUUACUAUUCCCUGUUCGAAACGCACAGCCCGGGGGCUACCUCGUAUUAUCCGUAUGCAUAUCAAAUAUCUUCUUGCUUAUGUCCUGGAAAUCUAUUUCUGUCAUGUUUAUUGAAGUAAGAAAAGAAACACAAGGCAAAAAGGGCAAGUUCGCGGAUGGAACCGAAACACAAGGAGAAAGGCUGAAUUCUGAAAAUUUGUUGUUCUUGGACUGAAAUUUUGUGACAUUACUUUGAAUUCUUGUUUGCGCCUUUUAUCUGAAAAUGCAUGUAUCUGUACGAGGCCUGGAAAAUAACCCAAGGAUAUGAGCAGGGUAAUAACAUCUUUGAAACGAGCUGAAAUUUAUUGGA
Molecule: long non-coding RNA, 1373 nt
Organism: Hermetia illucens (black soldier fly)
Lineage: Eukaryota; Metazoa; Arthropoda; Insecta; Diptera; Stratiomyidae
Exons: 3
Source: RefSeq, a predicted model, not a curated record